Unclassified non-coding RNA from Ursus americanus (American black bear), 95 nucleotides. Lineage: Eukaryota; Metazoa; Chordata; Mammalia; Carnivora; Ursidae. The record is from Ensembl.
CAGGAGAGGCAAAACACAGGCAGCAAUCGUGGGAGCUUUGCUCACAUGCGCCCAUCCCUGUGCCUCGACCCUGAGCUGGAGGCGCUCCCUCCAGA